UACGUAGGGGGCUAGCGUUGUCCGGAAUCAUUGGGCGUAAAGAGCGUGUAGGCGGCCCGGUAAGUCCGCUGUAAAAGUCAAAGGCUCAACCUUUGAAUGUCAGUGGAUACUGCCGGGCUAGAGUCCGGAAGAGGCGAGUGGAACUCCUGGUGUAGCGGUGGAGUGCGCAGAUAUCAGGAAGAACACCAACGGCGAAGGCAGCUCGCUGGGACGGUACUGACGCUGAGACGCGAAAGCGUGGGGAGCGAACAGG
Molecule: ribosomal RNA, 253 nt
Filed under: uncultured bacterium
Lineage: Bacteria
Description: partial 16S ribosomal RNA
Rfam family: Bacterial small subunit ribosomal RNA
Source: RNAcentral